Non-coding RNA from Drosophila melanogaster (fruit fly), 401 nucleotides. NCBI's taxonomy places the organism in Eukaryota, Metazoa, Arthropoda, Insecta, Diptera, Drosophilidae. The record is from Ensembl.
UCUUUCGGUGCAGCAGCUGCCGGCGGAUCGUUUGAGCUUGUCAGGUGAGGCAUGUUGAGUGUUUUAAUUACCGCCGGUGCACUGCGGACUGCAAGAUCGGUUGCAUCCGCAUAAACCGGCAACUGUGGCCAGGUUUAUUUGAUUUACGCGUGGUCAUUAGCCAUUGCCAAGUGGCUAAGAAGUCUUGGUCUUGGCGCUGUCUGCCUGUCGAGAAAUGUCAAAAGGUUAAUUGGAUUGUGGCAGCCGUAGCCGGAGAUGCCACCGAAAUUGAAUUGAAAACUAAAUCUGAAGCCGGACCCAGCCAAGAAUCUUGUUGAAAGGGGAAUGCCAGAAUGGCUGGCCAUUGAGCAGCCAACCAGAAAUGGUCAAUGGGUGCUCGAGUAAGUGGAAUAAAGUCUAAG